CAAGUCCUUGCAAGUUCUUCAUAGCCAAUUCCAAACUUCUCAAUUUUAUGGUCAUUUCCUCUUGUUCUUUUGUCAUAACAGGCUUCUUAGUGUUAGGAGGAAAUUCAGGUGGGUGAGUAUCACCGUAAAGACCAGUCAACUUGAAUAUAGGCUCGAAAGUGUAACGCUGAUCACCAGUAAUAUUCAAUGCAGGCUCUCUUGUAGAGUAGGGAGGCACAACUUGUGGAUGAACAUCAAAAGUAGGAUCUUCAAGUGGGGGUGGCAUCGCAAAAUCAUGAAAAACAGGUGGAGCAGAGUAUGUGGUAGUCUUGGAUUGAGGAGUGAGGAAAUGAA
This 333-nucleotide long non-coding RNA is filed under the name Capsicum annuum. RNAcentral's name for it is "long non-coding RNA (CANN_LNC000191)". Lineage: Eukaryota; Viridiplantae; Streptophyta; Magnoliopsida; Solanales; Solanaceae. The record is from RNAcentral.